AUCAUGUCGUUUCUCCUCCUCCAAGUCUCUAUCACAUGGUAUGCAAAUAAAUUUGGAUUAAAACAAGCAUCAAGGGACUUCCAUGAGGGCAGAAGGAGCUGGUUGAGGAGUUCAAAUGACCUGCAUCGAUUAUCUUCAGGGACAUUGAAGUGUGCUCCGCAGACAGUGAUAACAUGCCCAGGAUAUUACACUCAGAACCAUGUGAAGUUUGUGUCUUGGUUUGGAAUUUUGGGUCACACAUUGGCCAAGUAGGAAGUGUGCAUUCAACUGCCAACCUGCAAGGACGCAGCUCGGCCUGAGGGAGAUGUUUUCCUUCGCCUGGAGCUGAGCUGCGGACAGUUCCGUUUAUUUGCCAUCUCCCUUUUUUCAGAAACAGGUAAUUUUUCUUUGGCUUACCCAAAGGGCCCAAGGUCUUUGUCUUUUGUUUUUUCUGAAUGAUCCUAUAAAACAAAGCACUAAGUUUUUGUUAUUGACAAUGCCCCUAGGAAAACCUAUCUCGCGUGAGCUUGUUCACCACUAUAAUUCCAAUAUUUUUCUUGUUAUUGUUCAUAGUGUAGUCUUUUAGUUUCCUGUGAGCUUGGCUUUUCAUUAAAAAACAAGUUUAUUAGGUUGUAUGUAUCAUUUUUGGGUAUUCUAUAGUUGGAUGGCUUGAAAAUAUAUAGUCUACCACAAUGCUACAAAUGAAAUUCAGCUUUACCUACUUUGAAACACACAAACAAAUAAAAAUCAGUGAGCAAAUAAAUUCCACAGCUGCAAGAUGGACUUGAAGAAUAGGAAAUGUGCUGGAGACCCGAACUAGCCCUUGCCAGGAACUCAAGUUAAAACUCUCCUUGGGGCCAGCUCCGUAGCCAAGUGGUUAAGUUCACGUGCUCUGCUGCGGGGGCCCAGGGUUAGGAUCCUGGGCGCGGACAUGGCAC
RNAcentral lists this long non-coding RNA (917 nucleotides) under Equus caballus (horse). RNAcentral describes it as "lncRNA (ENSECAG00000045873.1)". Lineage: Eukaryota; Metazoa; Chordata; Mammalia; Perissodactyla; Equidae. The record is from RNAcentral.